GAUGAACGCUAGCGGGAGGCCUAACACAUGCAAGCCGAGCGGUAGAGUCUCUUCGGAGACUUGAGAGCGGCGCACGGGUGCGGAACACGUGUGCAACCUGCCUUUAUCUGGGGGAUAGCCUUUCGAAAGGAAGAUUAAUACCCCAUAAUAUACUGGAUGGCAUCAUCUGGUAUUGAAAACUCCGGUGGAUAGAGAUGGGCACGCGCAAGAUUAGAUAGUUGGUGAGGUAACGGCUCACCAAGUCAGCGAUCUUUAGGGGGCCUGAGAGGGUGAUCCCCCACACUGGUACUGAGACACGGACCAGACACCUACGGGAGGCAGCAGUGAGGAAUAUUGGACAAUGGGUGAGAGCCUGAUCCAGCCAUCCCGCGUGAAGGACGACGGCCCUAUGGGUUGUAGACUUCUUUUGUAUAGGGAUAAACCUAGAUACGUGUAUCUAGCUGAAGGUACUAUACGAAUAAGCACCGGCUAACUCCGUG
This 479-nucleotide ribosomal RNA is filed under the name uncultured bacterium. RNAcentral's name for it is "partial 16S ribosomal RNA". It matches the Rfam family "Bacterial small subunit ribosomal RNA", at positions 28 to 507 of the family's 1533-position model. The record is from RNAcentral.